UACGAAGGGGGCUAGCGUUGCUCGGAAUCACUGGGCGUAAAGGGCGCGUAGGCGGCCUGAUCAGUCGGGGGUGAAAGCCUGUGGCUCAACCACAGAAUGGCCUUCGAUACUGUCGGGCUUGAGACCGGAAGAGGUAAGUGGAACUGCGAGUGUAGAGGUGAAAUUCGUAGAUAUUCGCAAGAACACCAGUGGCGAAGGCGGCUUACUGGUCCGGUUCUGACGCUGAGGCGCGAAAGCGUGGGGAGCAAACAGG
Molecule: ribosomal RNA, 253 nt
Filed under: uncultured bacterium
Lineage: Bacteria
Description: partial 16S ribosomal RNA
Rfam family: Bacterial small subunit ribosomal RNA
Source: RNAcentral